This 595-nucleotide long non-coding RNA is filed under the name Drosophila guanche. The record is from RNAcentral. Lineage: Eukaryota; Metazoa; Arthropoda; Insecta; Diptera; Drosophilidae.
GCCGGAUAUUGUUGUCUUUGGGGAAGACUUGCACGAAAAGUUCCUCAAAAGUUUGGUGGAGACUUCAAGGAGUGCGAUCUGCUGAUCAUCAUGGGCACCUCGCUGGAAUUGCAUCCGUUUGUAGCUUUGGCGCAGUACCCUGGACUGCGCUGUGUGCGUCUCUCGAUCAAUCGCGAUGCCGUGGGUUUUCCCAAGUUUACCACCUGGAUGGAGGACCAAAAUAACGACUGUCUGCGGCAGCAUCCACUUGGCACUGGGCUCGACACGAACAGCGAGUCAUGUAUUGACUUAGCGGAGCAGCAUUCAAAUGCCACUUUCACCCACCUACGUCGAGGCUCUCAGGUACUUUAUCCGAUUUUGAGAUAUAUUAAUUAGUAUUGAUUCAAGUUCAUCCCACCGUAGAGUGACCGAUGAAAACAGCGCUGGCGCAGCACAGCUCAUUGAUCAGACGAUGAACAUCAGAUAGCAGACUGCAGCUCCAGCUCGAAAACAUCAUCACUUCCGACCUGGUAAACCAAGUACCAAGCGGAUGCUGCCGCGGGCAGUCGUCAUUUUGGUCAUCCAUCCAGGUGGUAAACUUGGGACGACCCACGGC